This 1230-nucleotide long non-coding RNA is filed under the name Manacus vitellinus (golden-collared manakin). RNAcentral's name for it is "lncRNA (ENSMVIG00005014479.1)". The record is from RNAcentral. Lineage: Eukaryota; Metazoa; Chordata; Aves; Passeriformes; Pipridae.
GAACCGACCCGGGCUCAUGAGAGGUGGUAGAUGGAGAGAGGGUUCCCCUGGUCUCCCUGAGAAACCCGUAAAAAAUAUUAUGCAUCUCUUUUGCUGGUAUUUAGCUGGGUUAAUAAGAACAUGAACAGUUAAUAAGAACAAGGGCAUUAGAGUUUUUUAAAUGAUGGGGAAAAAAUUGCGAACUCACCUUUUCCGUUUUAAAUGUCAAAAAUAACUAGCAAAAGUUAAGCAUAUGUCUGACCUUGUCCAUCAGCGUUUUUUUUUUCCUGGCUUCAAACUCUGUUUAUAUAUGGGUAUCAACACUAAAGUGUCAGUGGUGGAAUGAGCCUUGUGCACAAGGCAAACAGAAAUGAAAACCGCUGUUCCUAGAAGUUACUGAGCAUUUAGUUCCAGGACACUGGCAAGUGAGAUGGAUCAUCCAGUGUUGCUUGGAGAAAACAGUAAAUACAUUUCUAGUGCACCAGGAAAGCUCUUUCCAGAAGAAUUAACGCUGUUGUAAAAGCACCUCUCUGCAAUAGUGGGCACAAUUCCGACUCCCUCGUGUUGAAAUGAGACAAUGGAGGACUGCUAAGGUGGCUGAGGAAACAGGGCACCUGCCUGUCAGGAAGAGGCUGAAGAGAUUGGGAUAUAAGUGCUCUCUGUAAAUACUUGAGGAGUUAACACCAGUGAGAGGAAAAAACUAUUUAAUUUGAGGGAUGAAGCUGUGAAGAAACUUUGGCUAGUUUUCAGAAACAGCCAUGAGCAACAAAAGAUCUUCUAAGUGUUUUACCCUAAAUCUGCAUAUUCCAGCUCUGAUUUGCACCCGGCUUGUUCAUCAAGUCCUAUUUCAACUUCUGAGUAGAAAAUGCCAAGGCACAUCCUGUGGUAAUGACAUAGCAACUCAACUGUACAGGUGCAUUGUUCGAGUCUUUUGUGUUGAAAUCUAUCAACUUUUGAUUAGAAAUAUAAUUAUGAGCAUCUGGUAGCAGAAAAGACCCAUGAAAUGUGAUGUUUGACGUGGUUUUUUCCAAAAGGGCAUGUUUUUCCCUUUCGUCUCUUACUGUGUGAAAGAAGAACUAGUGAGCCUUCCAGCUCCAUCAUUCCUUUCCAUGUCCUGACAGAGGAGGCCCCCAAGUCCACCCAUGAUAGUGCUGAACAUGUAGACUCUGGUAUGCCACACUUUCCAUAUCAGAAGAAUUUUUCUUCUAGUAGCUACAGAGCCUUUUAACUCUGGCCUUUCUUCUCUGUGCC